This 537-nucleotide ribosomal RNA is filed under the name uncultured bacterium. RNAcentral describes it as "bacterial SSU rRNA". It matches the Rfam family "Bacterial small subunit ribosomal RNA", at positions 772 to 1314 of the family's 1533-position model. The record is from RNAcentral.
ACUCAAUAGAUACCCGGGUAGUCCACGCCCUAAACGAUGUCUACUAGUUGUCGGGUCUUAAUUGACUUGGUAAACGCAGCUAAACGCGUGAAGUAGACCGCCUGGGGAGUACGGUCGCAAGAUUAAAACUCAAAGGAAUUGACGGGGACCCGCACAAGCGGUGGAUGAUGUGGAUUAAUUCGAUGCAACGCGAAAAACCUUACCUACCCUUGACAUGGAUGGAAUCCUUGAGAGAUUGAGGAGUGCUCGAAAGAGAACCAUUACACAGGUGCUGCAUGGCUGUUGUCAGCUCGUGUCGUGAGAUGUUGGGUUAAGUCCCGCAACGAGCGCAACCCUUGUCAUUAGUUGCUACGAAAGGGCACUCUAAUGAGACUGCCGGUGACAAACCGGAGGAAGGUGGGGAUGACGUCAAGUCCUCAUGGCCCUUAUGGGUAGGGCUUCACACGUCAUACAAUGGUACAUACAGAGGGCCGCCAACCCGCGAGGGGAGCUAAUCCCAGAAAGUGUAUCGUAGUCCGGAUUGUAGUCUGCAACUCG